GUGGGUAACCUGCCUGUAAGAUUGGGAUAACUCCGGGAAACCGGAGCUAAUACCGGAUAACAUUUCGAACCGCAUGGUUCGAAAUUGAAAGAUGGUUUCGGCUAUCACUUACAGAUGGACCCGCGGCGCAUUAACUAGUUGGUGAGGUAACGGCUCACCAAGGCAACGAUGCGUAGCCGACCUGAGAGGGUGAUCGGACACACUGGGACUGAGACACGGGCCAGACUCCUACGGGAGGCAGCAGUAGGGAAUCUUCCGCAAUGGACGAAAGUCUGACGGAGCAACGCCGCGUGAACGAUGAAGGCCUUCGGGUCGUAAAGUUCAUGUUGUUAGGGAAGAACAAGUACCAGAGUAACUGCUGGUACCUUGACGGUACCUAACCAGAAAGCCACGGGUAACUACGUGCCAGCAGCCGCGGUAAUACGUAGGUGGCAAGCGUUGUCCGGAAUUAUUGGGCGUAAAGCGCGCGCAGGCGGUUUCUUAAGUCUGAUGUGAAAGCCCACGGCUCAACCGUGGAGGGUCAUUGGAAACUGGGGAACUUGAGUGCAGAAGAGGAGAGUGGAAUUCCACGUGUAGCGGUGAAAUGCGUAGAGAUGUGGAGGAACACCAGUGGCGAAGGCGACUCUCUGGUCUGUAACUGACGCUGAGGCGCGAAAGCGUGGGGAGCGAACAGGAUUAGAUACCCUGGUAGUCCACGCCGUAAACGAUGAGUGCUAAGUGUUAGAGGGUUUCCGCCCUUUAGUGCUGCAGCAAACGCAUUAAGCACUCCGCCUGGGGAGUACGGUCGCAAGACUGAAACUCAAAGGAAUUGACGGGGGCCCGCACAAGCGGUGGAGCAUGUGGUUUAAUUCGAAGCAACGCGAAGAACCUUACCAGGUCUUGACAUCCUUCGCUACUUCUAGAGAUAGAAGGUUCCCCUUCGGGGGACGAAGUGACAGGUGGUGCAUGGUUGUCGUCAGCUCGUGUCGUGAGAUGUUGGGUUAAGUCCCGCAACGAGCGCAACCCUUGAUCUUAGUUGCCAGCAUUCAGUUGGGCACUCUAAGGUGACUGCCGGUGACAAACCGGAGGAAGGUGGGGAUGACGUCAAAUCAUCAUGCCCCUUAUGACCUGGGCUACACACGUGCUACAAUGGAUGGUACAAAGGGC
RNAcentral lists this ribosomal RNA (1146 nucleotides) under Bacillus sp. CBMAI 1203. Its description in RNAcentral is "bacterial SSU rRNA". It matches the Rfam family "Bacterial small subunit ribosomal RNA", at positions 117 to 1247 of the family's 1533-position model. RNAcentral also lists the same sequence under 1 other name. Lineage: Bacteria; Bacillati; Bacillota; Bacilli; Caryophanales; Bacillaceae. The record is from RNAcentral.